GGAGCCAUGUGAUUCACUUAACAACCACAUGAUUUGCUUAACAACUGCCACAAAAAAUGUAAAGUUAGAUGCAGUCAUGUAAUGACAUGCUUAAAGAUCGCACUGCUUAACAAUGAAUUUUCCAGUUUCUAUUGCGGUCGUAAGUUGAGGACUACCUGUAUAUAUGUGCGCUAUGUUAGGGCUUCUCCUCUGUCAGAAGGUCCUUUCAAGCUUAUUGGGUGUUGGCAUCCUGUACCGCAUUGAACAGCACCCAGCCAGCAGCACUAGAGCAUCUGAAUUUAAUUGCCAUUUUGAUUUCCCAUAAUGCCCUGUGGUGUUGCUGUGCCAGUGGCAUUGUGGGAAAGGGAUAGGGCAGCUAGAUUCAUCACCCAGCAUUGCUCAAAGUGUGGACCUAUCCUUUUUUUUAUUAUUAUUAUCAAAGGACUCUGCUCUCAUCAGUCACCUGCUUACUCCAGCUCCAGGUUAAAUAGGUUUUAAAAUGACUCUGAAAAAUGAGGGGAAAGGAAAGGGCGUGAGAUCUUUGUGUUAUUCAUCCAUUUAUGGUCAUUGUGUGUGUUUCAAGGAAGAGAACUGUGCAGUAAAUAGGCUCUCUCCUAUCAUCGGGCAAAGAUUCUAGCAAAGUUGAUAAAGGGGAAUAUAAUAUUUUUAAAAAUAUGGAAGGCUCUGCAAAACAAACAUUUUGCUAAGAACAAGAAACUAAUAAAAACCAAGCCCUACUUCGCACAGUUGGAGGCGGUUGCAUGGAUGUCCUUCUAAAAUAAAGAGGUUAGAUACUGACCUUUUUUAUUCCUCUCCCCAUCUGGAAUUAGGAAGAAGGGAAACUUCUCCUCUGUGCACUCAACGUGCCACGUUCUUCGUGAAUAUUCUGCAUCUCUGGGCAGUGCUUUUGAACCCGUGAAUGAAACUCAGGGAGACCCUGAGUUAAUUCGAUGAUGAUAUUUCUGAGUCCUACUUGGGCUUUUGGUCGGCCUGGGAGGUACAUUGCUGAUACAGUUCUGCACAAUUUCUCCGUGAAACCUUUGGCCAGUGUAGAUAUACCUUGGUUUAAUGUCUAUAACCAGGGCACAAGAAACUGAAAUCAUCACAUUGAAAUCAUCACAGUUGAAAUCAUCUUAUUUAUCCCUGUGUCAAUUCCCCAUUCUUCGAUUUCACCUGUGCAGAGUUUUAGACUGUAAAUUCUAUGGGCAGAAACCUCUUUUCCAGUACUUUUUAAACUCUAUGCCUACUAAUGUAAUGCCAGGAGCAAUUAAAAUAGAACAUCGAAGAAUAACAAGUAGUAAAAUUACCCUCAGGGCCCACCCAGCUCUAUAACUGCACGGAUAUAUCCGUGCAGUUUUCUUCACGGUUUGCUAUGCCUUCUUCCAAGAUGACUUUACAACUUCCUCAUUUAACCUAAGCUUUGGAAUGUCCUAGUGGUCUCCUGUCCAAGGUCUCACUUAUCCGAUUCUGCUUUUUUUAAUUCAGUCAAGAUUGGCCAGGUACUACAAUGACCCAAUAGCAAGUAAGCUAGACAAAACCCAUUUCCUUGUAUUAUGUAGCUGCCUCACCCCAAGUUUGUACACAAGAAAAUAUUAAGCAAUAGGAAACAGGAAAAUAUUAAACAUCUCUGAGUAAAGGGCAGAGUAACUACACUAGCUGAAUGCAAUUAAAUUUAGCCACGUCGCUGCUUCGCUAGAACAUUUAAAGUCUCCUUCAAGGGCACCACGGCCAUAAGGAAGUGGUAUGUCGCUGGCACUUUCUGAUACUCAAAUCAUUUAUUACAGCCAUGUUGCUUUUUCCAUCUCCCCGAUCUAGCCUACGGCUCUGGGAUUUUCUGAUGGAGCCCCGUCCAAUACUAACCAGGCCCUACCUUGCUUAAUUUCUAAGUCCAGACCAACUACGGUUUUUAAACUGAUGUAAAAAAAUGGAAGCCUCCGACAAAGAAUUAACUAAUUAUGAGUGCAUUUCAGCCUAAUUUAUGAGGCUUAAGCCAAUCGCUUUCCUAGACUUAGGGAAGAGUUGUUCAAAUCCUAGUGGGAUUUGUUUCUAAGAAAAGAGACAUUAACUGCGCUGGGCUUAACAGUGGUUGGGAUAUUUACUUACAGGCCUGUGUUGUGAUUCGUGCUCUGAUUGCAUGAAUAGGGAUCGCUUGAUUUUGCUGUUACAGCAAGACAAAAUGGGCCACUUUUUGAUGGCUGAGGACUGGAGCCGCAGUAGAGCGAUGAGGACGCCAAGGGAAGCUAGGUGGAAAUGAUUCAGAGAGGUACAGAAAGACAUUUGGGAUUUCAUAUCACUAAAGCUGUUUUUUGUUUUUCUGACCACAUCCUUGGAUAAACUGCAUUCUUGGGUGAAAAUUAAAAAUGGAAGUUAUCCAGGACAACAAUGGCUCGCUGUGAUGUCUGGAAACAGCCACGGUUUUGCAGCGUUUCCCAGCUGGAGCAAUUUCCAGAAGUAUGGCGUUUGCCUCCCAGAAUUCUCUGCUGGCUGAGGGAUUCUGGGAGUUGAUUCUGGGCACCCAGGUUUGCAAAUCCCUGAGAAGCUUGCCGGCUGUCUUUCGAAUUUGUAAAAGAGCAGGUCUUGACUUGAUGCAGGUAGCAGGCGCUUUUAAAAAAAAAUGUGCGCGCUUGUUAAAAUACGCGCAGUCGGAUCUCCCUCCGAAUGCAUGUGGCUUUAUUCCUUGGGAAGGGGAUGUGUUUUUUGCAUCGCUGCCUCCACCGCCUCGCCAUCCUGUUGAUGACCCUCUUCUGCUUCCGCGAGAGAACCGUGUCUCCGAGCGAGCCCUGUGUUGCUCACCCACCUUCCCCAAAACCACUCCCUUUCUCUUUGAAUGAAUGGGAAAGCGGUCUUGCGGGGAUUCCUGUGCGCCAAAGCAUCCGGGGGCCCAGCCCUUCCAGCUUUUGUAUGCCGUUCUGCGCCUUCUCACCCAACAGACAGUCUUCUUUCAGAGAAGCCGGAACUGAGAGAAGAUGCUUCCUUUUUCCACACCGCUUGGAAAGACGGAGUGACUUGAUCCUUUCACGGCCUCUCCAGAAGAUCGCAGGGAGCGUCGUCUGCUGCGCGUUGAUGCUGCAGCUUGCAGAACGUGGCUGCUGUAACCAUCCCGGGGAAAAAAGGGGGGGAGAAAAAAGGGAGUCUCCCCCCCCACUCCCUUGAAACUGACUUUCUUUUGUGUGUCUGCCUCUGGAUUUCUCCGCCUGCCUUCUCCAUCUGCCAACUGAAACGAGGAAGGGAUGUGAACGCUCGGCUGGGAGAGCAGAUUCUGUGCGGAAGGUCAAGCUGUGAUCCUUCGUGGAAACAGGACAAGCUCUGGGAAAUGAAGCCACAGGGGGGAUGUCGCAGGUGACCUUCCUGGAGUGAAGAUGUCCUCCCUGGAUCCUCUGCCUCCCGCCACUCCUCCC
This is a non-coding RNA of Python bivittatus (Burmese python), 3377 nucleotides long. The record is from RefSeq and is a predicted model, not a curated record. Lineage: Eukaryota; Metazoa; Chordata; Lepidosauria; Squamata; Pythonidae.